This 253-nucleotide ribosomal RNA is filed under the name uncultured bacterium. RNAcentral's name for it is "partial 16S ribosomal RNA". It matches the Rfam family "Bacterial small subunit ribosomal RNA", at positions 524 to 776 of the family's 1533-position model. The record is from RNAcentral.
UACAGAGGUCUCAAGCGUUGUUCGGAAUCACUGGGCGUAAAGGGUGCGUAGGCGGCACGGUAAGUCAGAGGUGAAAUCCCGGAGCUCAACUUCGGAAUUGCCUCCGAUACUGCCGUGCUUGAGGACUGGAGAGGAGAUUGGAUUUCACAGUGGAGCAGUGAAAUGCGUAGAUAUUGUGAGGAACACUAGUGGCGAAGGCGAAUCUCUGGACAGUUCCUGACGCUGAGGCACGAAGGCCAGGGGAGCAAACGGG